Molecule: long non-coding RNA, 2335 nt
Filed under: Brachypodium distachyon (stiff brome)
Lineage: Eukaryota; Viridiplantae; Streptophyta; Magnoliopsida; Poales; Poaceae
Description: long non-coding RNA (BDIS_LNC003469)
Source: RNAcentral
UCAAGUCCAAGGUCAAGAUGAGAUACGAUGGAGGCGAACGGGAGGGCCAACAAGAAUCAAGCAUUCAUACAGCUGAGAGGGAAGGAUUUCAAGUGUACUUUCCAACAAAUCAAACGGCACAUGAUUCGGAGCUUGCUAGAGAAAGAUAUCACGAAUUAAAUUUGAAUCCGAUUCGGGUCCGAGCUGCCAGGAGACCCGAAUUUGUUUUAAUCACCCAGGACGCAUCCGGAGUCCAAAUCAAGCAAACAAGUACUUGUUGGAAAGGUAAUUACAAGACCUUUCCAACGGAUCUGGCCCCAUCAAGAGAUUCGACUCGUGCUGACCGUGACGAACAAAACAAGCUGACGGAUCUGUUUUUCUGUUUCCUAAAGAGUUGUAGUUUGUUAGGGAAGUUAGAGAUAGAGUUGGAUUUCGGCCUCCUUACUCAAGGUGGACGAAAGUAUCUCUCCCUCCUCCUAUUUAUACCCCAUGAGCCCCCCUAUGGAGCCUUGGGUUUUGAUUAGAUAAAGUUUAGCCAUCUUUGCUACUUUCGUGUAAUCGCGUGUGUCGGUUAGACCACCUGUUUUACCGUCGUCAAGACUCCAACUUAUCGUCUCGUUGAGACAUUGGUUUGAUAUAGUAUAUUCGCAAUUUUAGAUUGCAUCCGCUAUUUAUCUUGUUCUUGCUUGUUCUUCGAUUGCUUGCAGGAACAAAAACCUUCGUGGUCAGGUUGAUCGUGCCCCCGCGUGAUCAAUAACUCUUUGGAGUUGGCGUAUCGAUUGCUAAGGCGCUGCCUCCUAGGCCGUAGUCGGAUCGUCAACAUCACCUCCUACCCAAAUCGAGAGUUACCAAUCUCAUCGAAAGAUCGGGCCACCCGCACCCGCAUUACUACAAAUGAGUCGAGCCCACAAGGUAGUGAUACAGAGGAUUGUGUUGCUGAACUAAAAAGGGCAUGUGAUGAAAUAAAUGUGAUACCUAUUGAAUUUUCUGCACCAUGUGAAAUUAUUGUCGUACAUGGUGAUUCAAGUGCACCUACUGCUGAAAUUAAUUCUUCUAAUGAUUUGAGUGCACAAAUUAAUUUUGAUAUUGAUGAGAACGAAUCAUGUGAGGAAAUAACUAAUGUUUUGGAAGAAACAAGUGAGAUAGAUAAAUUUGAUUUAGGUUGUGUCGAGUUGAUUAGACAUGGAGUGAUUGAUAAGGAUCCACCUAUUAAUUCUUUAUGUUAUAUUACACUUGAUACACUUAUAUAUUUGUCACAUGCAAUGGAUAAAGUUUCUGAGUUAACAAUUUCAAAAUCUUUUGCUAAUGCCCAUGGAUACACUAUUCAAUUAAUUGGAGAACAUGAUGUCAACAAUAAAGUUUUGGUGCAUCAGAUUUGCAUUGCUUGUGAUAACUUUCUUGAUUUGAGAGAAAAUAAUAUGUUGCAUAUGCUUAACCAUUUUGAUAUGACCUCCAAUAUUGGUGUUGAUUAUUUGCCAAUUAGUUCUUUACACGAUUGUUUGAAUGUUAGUGCUUUGACAUGCUCUAAAUUUCAGCAUCUUGUAGUAACUAAUUUGGGUAACAUUAUUAAUUAUUAUUCUCCAGUGUUGGGAUGGUAUAAUGGUGAGCGGUGCAAACCAAAUACAAGAUAUUGUUUCACUUAUAUAUGCAAAACAUAUUGUCAAUCUUCUUGCUGGAAUGAUAUUCAUGAUGAUUGUGUGACUAAUUAUCUCAUGAGAUUGUGUUAUAAAACAUUAAUUGUGCAACAUGGGAGUGGAGUUAAAAAUAACGAUAUAUACAUAUACCAUGCGCAUACCUUGUCUCUUUUGUUAGCAUAUUUUCAGCAUAAACGACGCCGAGGACGGCUUUCCUUUCAAGAAAGGGAGGAUGAUAUGGACAUGCUAACCAUGGAUACGACCAUUAGAACCCUAAUUGUUGGUGUCUCUAAUAAUUAUAAUCAGGUGAAUUCAAUUACAAAAUGUUUUCAAUAUGUUACUUGCAAAGAGGCGGAGCUACUAUCUUGUGUAAUCUUAUUAUGUAGGCAUCUUAUUGAACUUUACAAGUCCAAAGUGAAGAUGAAGUAUUAUAGCCUGCAAAACGAGAUUCAAAGUGAAGCCUAUCAAGUCUACUUUCCAACAAAUCAAACGGCACAUGAUUCGGAGCUUACUAGAGAAAGAUAUCACGAAUUAAAGUUGACUCCGAUUCGGGUCCGAGCUGUCAGGAGACCCGAAUUUGUUUUAAUCACCCAGGCCGCAUCCGGAGUCCAAAUCAAGCAAACAAGUACUUGUUGGAAAGGUAAUUACAAGACCUUUCCAACGCAUCUGGCCCCAUCAAGAGAUUCGACUCGUGCUGACCGUGGCGGACAAAACAAGCUGAC